Molecule: ribosomal RNA, 253 nt
Filed under: uncultured bacterium
Lineage: Bacteria
Description: partial 16S ribosomal RNA
Rfam family: Bacterial small subunit ribosomal RNA
Source: RNAcentral
GACAGAGGGGGCAAGCGUUGCUCGGAAUUACUGGGCGUAAAGGGCUCGUAGGCGGCCAACUAAGUCGGACGUGAAAUCCCCAGGCUCAACCUGGGAACUGCGUCCGAUACUGGAUGGCUUGAAUUCGGGAGAGGGAUGCAGAAUUCCAGGUGUAGCGGUGAAAUGCGUAGAUAUCUGGAGGAAUACCGGUGGCGAAGGCGGCAUCCUGGACCGACAUUGACGCUGAGGAGCGAAAGCUAGGGGAGCAAACGGG